UACGGGGGGUGCGAGCGUUGUCCGGAAUCACUGGGCGUAAAGGGCGCGUAGGUGGUCUGAUAAGGGUGUGGUGAAAGCCCGGGGCUCAACCCCGGGUCGGCCGUGCCGACUGUUAGACUAGAGUGCGGUAGGGGAGAUUGGAAUUCCUGGUGUAGCGGUGGAAUGCGCAGAUAUCAGGAGGAACACCAAUGGCGAAGGCAGAUCUCUGGGCCGUAACUGACGCUGAGGAGCGAAAGCAUGGGGAGCGAACAGG
Molecule: ribosomal RNA, 253 nt
Filed under: uncultured bacterium
Lineage: Bacteria
Description: partial 16S ribosomal RNA
Rfam family: Bacterial small subunit ribosomal RNA
Source: RNAcentral